AUUGUUUCACAAACGACCCACUCAAAUUGUUUGGCAAUUGGUAGCAAUCCAGAGAACCCAUAACUGAAAAUAGUGGGAAAUAAUGGAGCUGAAAAAAGGGAUUUGGCUGAUCUACCUCCAUUUGAUGUUGUUUCAUGUCAAUGGGUCAGCUUUAAAUUGCACCUGGCCAAAUGCUGAAUCCCUUUAUGAUGCGCUUGACGAAACAAUAUUUUCAAAGAACCAUCUACGCCCUGUGAAUCUGCUUGAAACACCAACAAAUGUCUCCAUCUCUUUCAUUUUGGCUGGAAUUCUCGGAGCAGUAAAAAAAGCACAAACAUUUACAACUUUCUUAUGGAUUCGUCUUGAGUGGAUCAUAGAGGGUUUGACCUGGGACGAGAAGGAAUGUGGUUCAGAGUAACUGUCGGUUAAACGUGAAAACCUGUGGAUUCCAGACAUUUUCAUCUUAGAGUU
This is a long non-coding RNA of Gadus macrocephalus (Pacific cod), 450 nucleotides long. RefSeq lists it as uncharacterized. NCBI's taxonomy places the organism in Eukaryota, Metazoa, Chordata, Actinopteri, Gadiformes, Gadidae. The record is from RefSeq and is a predicted model, not a curated record. The transcript has 4 exons.